RNAcentral lists this ribosomal RNA (235 nucleotides) under uncultured bacterium. RNAcentral describes it as "partial 16S ribosomal RNA". It matches the Rfam family "Bacterial small subunit ribosomal RNA", at positions 96 to 334 of the family's 1533-position model. The record is from RNAcentral.
UGGCGGACGGGUGAGUAAUGUCUGGGAAACUGCCCGAUGGAGGGGGAUAACUACUGGAAACGGUAGCUAAUACCGCAUAACGUCGCAAGACCAAAGAGGGGGACCUUCGGGCCUCUUGCCAUCGGAUGUGCCCAGAUGGGAUUAGCUAGUAGGUGGGGUAACGGCUCACCCAGGCGACGAUCCCUAGCUGGUCUGAGAGGAUGACCAGCCACACUGGAACUGAGACACGGUCCAG